Long non-coding RNA from Vitis riparia (riverbank grape), 484 nucleotides. RefSeq lists it as uncharacterized. The transcript is spliced from 2 exons. Lineage: Eukaryota; Viridiplantae; Streptophyta; Magnoliopsida; Vitales; Vitaceae. The record is from RefSeq and is a predicted model, not a curated record.
ACAUUUGAUACUGCUACAUUUUCAGACUCCUCAGACAAGAUCGUCACAAUGACAGUAGAAGAGUUUGCUAAAUAUUCACAGUAUCAAGACGCACUGAAAGCAUCUACUCCUGUUAGUGCUCUGGCAGAGUCAGGUAAAACAUGUCUUGUCUCCUCCUCAAACAAAUGGAUAAUUGAUUCAGGUGCCACAGAUCAUAUGACAGGAUCUUAUGACGAAACGGACAUUUGGUAAAGGACAUGUAUCUGAUGGGCUCUAUAUUCUUGACGAGUGGGUACCUCGACUAGUUGCGUGUGUCAGUACUGCCUCUCCUGUUGAAGCUCAUUGUCGGUUAGGACAUCCUUCUCUACCGGUGUUGAAGAAAUUAUGUCCUCAGUUUGAUACUUUACCUUCAUUAGAUUGUGAGUCGUGUCAUUUUGCGAAGCAUCAUCGUAGUUCUUUAGGCCCAAGGAUUAAUAAACGGGCUGAGUCUUUGUUUGAGUUAGUA